GAUGAACGCUGGCGGCGUGCCUAAUACAUGCAAGUCGAGCGAACAGACGAGGAGCUUGCUCCUUUGACGUUAGCGGCGGACGGACGAGUAACAGGUAUGUGACCUACCUAUAAGACUGGGAUAACUUCGGGAAACCGGAGCUAAUACCGGAUAAUAUUUCGAACCGCAUGGUUCGAUAGUGAAAGAUGGCUUUGCUAUCACUUAUAGAUGGACCUGCGCCGUGUUAGCUAGUUGGAAAGGCCACGGCUUACCAAGGCAACGAUACGUAGCCGUACCUGAGAGGGUGAUCGGCCACACUGGAACUGAGACACGGUCCAGACUCCUACGGGAGGCAGCAGUAGGGAAUCUUCCGCAGUGAGCGAAAGCCUGAGGGAUCAACGCGGCGUGAGUGAUCAAGGUCUUCCGAUCGUAAAACUCUGUUAUUAGGGAAGAGCCAACGUGUAAGUGACUGUGCCCGUCUUGACCGUAGCUAAUCAGAAAGCCACGGCUAACUACGUGCCAGCAGCCGCGGGUAUACGUAGGUGGCAAGCGUCAUCGGGAGUUAUUGGGACUAACGCGCGUAGCGGUUUUUUAGUCUGAUGUGAAAGCCCACGGCUCCACCGCGGAGGGUCAUUGGAAACUGGAAAACUUGAGUGCAGAAGAGGAAAGUGGAAUUCCAUGUGUAGCGGUGAAAUGCGCAGAGAUAUGGAGGAACACCAGUGGCGAAGGCGACUUUCUGGUCUGUAACUGACGCUGAUGUGCGAAAGCGUGGGGAUCAAACAGGAUUAGAUACCCUGGUAGUCCACGCCGUAAACGAUGAGUGCUAAGUGUUAGGGGGUUUCCGCCCCUUAGUGCUGCAGCUAACGCAUUAAGCACUCCGCCUGGGGAGUACGACCGCAAGGUUGAAACUCAAAGGAAUUGACGGGGACCCGCACAAGCGGUGGAGCAUGUGGUUUAAUUCGAAGCAACGCGAAGAACCUUACCAAAUCUUGACAUCCUUUGACCCUUCUAGAGAUAGAAGUUUCCCCUUCGGGGGACAAAGUGACAGGUGGUGCAUGGUUGUCGUCAGCUCGUGUCGUGAGAUGUUGGGUUAAGUCCCGCAACGAGCGCAACCCUUAAGCUUAGUUGCCAUCAUUAAGUUGGGCACUCUAAGUUGACUGCCGGUGACAAACCGGAGGAAGGUGGGGAUGACGUCAAAUCAUCAUGCCCCUUAUGAUUUGGGCUACACACGUGCUACAAUGGACAAUACAAAGGGCAGCGAAACCGCGAGGUCAAGCAAAUCCCAUAAAGUUGUUCUCAGUUCGGAUUGUAGUCUGCAACUCGACUACAUGAAGCUGGAAUCGCUAGUAAUCGUAGAUCAGCAUGCUACGGUGAAUACGUUCCCGGGUCU
This 1369-nucleotide ribosomal RNA is filed under the name uncultured bacterium. Its description in RNAcentral is "bacterial SSU rRNA". It matches the Rfam family "Bacterial small subunit ribosomal RNA", at positions 28 to 1381 of the family's 1533-position model. The record is from RNAcentral.